Gossypium arboreum is the source of this 1923-nucleotide long non-coding RNA. RefSeq lists it as uncharacterized. NCBI's taxonomy places the organism in Eukaryota, Viridiplantae, Streptophyta, Magnoliopsida, Malvales, Malvaceae. The transcript is spliced from 3 exons. The record is from RefSeq and is a predicted model, not a curated record.
ACUUAAACAAAAGAAGAUAGAAACCGACAGCAAUAAUUACUAAAUCUUGAAAAAUGAAAAACCUACUUAAUCCAGUCAUUUCAACAAUGGCUGUAAUCCAUUAUACUGAAUGAAUCGUCACUUCAAUCCUUUCCAACCGUUCAGUCGAUAGCUUUGUUCAAAAACAUAGUCGUUCAUAGCUAUCAUCCAAACCCAUUCCUCUCUAGCAUCUUCUAGUCUUGUCUUCUUGCCCAGCGUCCUUCAGAAAGUAGAUCAAGCGAACUUUGGUUUUCUUGCAUCCGGUAAGAGAUUAUUCCACUUUCUAAGACUUCUUUUGCUAACUGAUGGGCAUGCAUGUUUUAUUUUCUGGGAAUAUACUUGAACUUUAUUGUUUGAUAAUGGGCACACUUAUCUUGAAUAUCUCGAAUGAUUGCUCCAAUGACUGACUUAUCAACUUCUGUUGUUUGGCAUUUCCUGAUUACUGUCUUUGAAUCCCCUUUGAUUUGUGAAUCUCUAAAGCCCAUUAAGAUUCCUAACUUAAUUGUUUCCAAUCCUGCAUAUGCUUCUGCCGCGAACGGAGAUGGAACAUAAUUGUGGAGGACUGUCUUCGUUGCCAGUUUUUCAUUCCUACAACCCCAAACCACCACCCCAGAGGCAGAUCUGAAAUUUCUCUUGUCGUACGCUUCGUCGAAGUGUAUCUUUACUAUUGGUAAGCUGUCUGUACAUCUGUGUCUUCGAGUAAAAUCUGGUGAAUCCAGCUUUAUUCUUAUCCCAUCUUGUUCAGCCUUGUAACUUGGAAUCUUUUGUGCAAGUUUUCUUCCUGAGAUGAAUAUCCGUUCGGGAACUAGCUGGUUUCUUGAGUACCAUAUUAGCCAUAAGACAUAACAAAAAAGUCGACUCUGCUCCUCUGUUCCCUGCUGGAAUACCCAGGGCAAUGUCUGAAAGUGUGAGAGCAGUCUUCAUCUCCCAAACCACAUCGUAUGCAGCAAACAUUCGUGAUCACCCUUUUACUUCUGAGGUUUAUAAGCGUGGGCAAAUAAUUCCAGGAAGCACGCCAAGUAAUUGCGAUUUUUGUAGGAAGUUGUAGGCUCCAUAAUUUUUUGUAAAAUUUUUUAGAUUCGGUCUGUAAUAAAAAUACUACUAGGAUCUAGUGAAGAAUCCUGUAAUAGUUUAUAGGCACUCCGUACGGAGAAUUCUCCCGAUUGUUCUCCCUUCCAGACUUGAGAAUCAGCAUGGCUUGUUUCUGCAAGAGGAAUCUGCAAAAUUCUUUGAGCAAUCUCUUCUGGAACUUUCAGUGCCCAACAAUCAUUCCAAAUUGAUAUCUCUCUCCUGGUUCUUACUCUCAUCAUUGCCCAUUUGGAAGAAGUCCCUUCGAAGCCCAGAUGCUCCUCUAGGUGAGUGAAGGUGUAUUUCCUAACCUCGCCUCCAUAAAACUUGACUGCGGAUAAUAUUUUGCCUUGAAAACCUUCGCUAGUAAUGAAUUAGGAAGCAAACAAGGUUAUAUUAAAUUGGCUAAACUUUUGAAACCCUAAACCCCCAAUUUCCUUCAAACUGCAAAGAUAUUGCCAUUUACACCAAUGAAUAACCUUUCGUCCUCUGCUCAUUUGCCACCAAAAUUUGGUAAUAAUAUUUUCAUUAUCAUUACAUAGAGAUCUCGGUAAUAGGAAGCAAGCCAUCGAGUAGGUUGGGAUUGUUUGUAAAAUAGCUUUUAUAAAAACUUCUUUCCCCCCCUGUGAAAGAUAUUUAGUACUCCAGCUAUCUAUACGCAUUUUGAUACGAUCCUUCAAGUUUUGAAAGGACGCCUUCUUACUCUUACCCAGCAUAUGCGGCAAUCCUAGAUAUCGUUCUGCUUCCUCCGAGCAUCGAACUGCCAGUAGGCUAUCGACCAAUUGUUUAUCCACUAGUGGAGUAUUUUUACUGAAGAAAAUAGUGGAUUUAUCAAAA